RNAcentral lists this small RNA (920 nucleotides) under Pongo abelii (Sumatran orangutan). RNAcentral describes it as "processed transcript". Lineage: Eukaryota; Metazoa; Chordata; Mammalia; Primates; Hominidae. The record is from RNAcentral.
AUUAUGCUGGUCUCCAUGGCCGGGCCUCGGAGCCAAGACGAGAGAAAAUGCUGCUGUGAAGACCCAAUUAAAGCUUUCACAUAAAUGAAGCUACAGCUAUCAUGAUUUAGUGCCCCCAAAAGGAAGAACUUCAGUGGACAAGAAAGGACAUUUCUAGAAUGCUUGAGGCCUGGAAUUUAAACCUGAGCCACUAUCUGAAGCUAUUAAAUAAUAGAAGAAAAUGGAAUUGAAUAUGAUGUCAGCAUGGAACAAUCUAAUGAUUCAUUAAGAGUCAACCAUAAUGAUGGUGAAGAGUCAAAAACCAAUGCUCAAGUAUUUGAGCAUCUAACCUGUAUGGACUCCAGGGAUUCUUCCUUUGGACAAAAUGAUUCUCCUACAGUUUUGCCCAUCACUACUCCUGAAGCAAAUAAUUCACUCAUAUCACAGAAUAUACUAGGGCCCCUGACUCAGACACAGACUCUUUCUGCAGAGCAAUUCCAUCUAGUGGACCAAAAUGGGCAAGCUAUUCAAUAUGAACUUCAGUCAUUGGGGGAAUCCAGUGCACAAAUGAUGAUCGUUGCCAGCCCAACAGAAAAUGGACAGGUACUUCGUGUAAUUCCACCUACCCAGACAGGAAUGGCACAAGUGAUUAUACCUCAGGGGCAGCUUGUGGAUGUGAAUAGUCCUCGGGAUGUCCCUGAAGAGAAACCCACUGACAGAAACUUACCAACUGUAAGAGUGGAUACUCUAGCAGACAAUACCAGCAAUUACAUUCUUCAUCCUCAAACAUCCUUCACAUUGCCCAAAAAGUCAGUGACCAGAAUGCUGGAAGAACCCCUUCUGGCGCCUCUUCAGCCACUUUCCUCUAACACACCUAUAUGGGCCUGCCAUCUUAGGAGCUGUGAGGGAGUAGAGCUGUGGUAAUGGAGUGUCAGUAUGGG